AGUGAACGCUGGCGGUAGGCCUAACACAUGCAAGUCGAACGGCAGCACAGUAAGAGCUUGCUCUUACGGGUGGCGAGUGGCGGACGGGUGAGGAAUACAUCGGAAUCUACUUUUUCGUGGGGGAUAACGUAGGGAAACUUACGCUAAUACCGCAUACGACCUACGGGUGAAAGCAGGGGAUCUUCGGACCUUGCGCGAUUGGAUGAGCCGAUGUCGGAUUAGCUAGUUGGCGGGGUAAAGGCCCACCAAGGCGACGAUCCGUAGCUGGUCUGAGAGGAUGAUCAGCCACACUGGAACUGAGACACGGUCCAGACUCCAACGGGAGGCAGCAGUGGGGAAUAUUGGACAAUGGGCGCAAGCCUGAUCCAGCCAUACCGCGUGGGUGAAGAAGGCCUUCGGGUUGUAAAGCCCUUUUGUUGGGAAAGAAAAGCAGCAGGUUAAGACCCCGCUGUUCUGACGGUACCCAAAGAAUAAGCACCGGCUAACUUCGU
This 491-nucleotide ribosomal RNA is filed under the name uncultured bacterium. RNAcentral describes it as "partial 16S ribosomal RNA". It matches the Rfam family "Bacterial small subunit ribosomal RNA", at positions 29 to 506 of the family's 1533-position model. The record is from RNAcentral.